This 819-nucleotide ribosomal RNA is filed under the name Triticum aestivum (bread wheat). Its description in RNAcentral is "partial small subunit ribosomal RNA". Lineage: Eukaryota; Viridiplantae; Streptophyta; Magnoliopsida; Poales; Poaceae. The record is from RNAcentral.
AUGGAGGAGGCACAUAUGUUUGUUGAUUCUGUUUCUGGGUUGGCCCUUGAGGGGGAGAGGAAAGCAAACUUCAGCAUGCUUCAGGUAGAGCACAUCCGUGCUUGGUUUUACUUCAUUAGUAGCUGGCAUUCGAUUUCUGCUCUUUGGCUGGCAAUGGUUCAGUGCCCACACUACACUUCAGUUCUGGGGAUUUUAUACAUGGUGUCAACACAAUUCUCCGGUACAUUGCACGUGCUGCAUUUGUUUCCAGCUUCUAUGUCCAGGACGAUAUUCAGGCAGCACAAGUUGACCAAUGGCUCAAGUACGCACCAACUCAUUCUCUCGGGCUCUGAAUUUGAAUCUGCUUGCUCAUUUCUUGAUGGAUACUUGGCAACUCGAACCUUUUUUGUUGAUUAUGGUCUAUCAAUUGCUGACAUUGUCAUGUGGUCAAAUCUCACAGGUCACCAUGGUUGUUCCAUUGUCAUAUCAUUCAUCAUAUGCUGCUGUUUAGCAUCACAAAAGAAGAAGGCCAGACUCUUGCCUUCCCUGCCAAUGCUUCCUCCUGCCAUGCUAGCCAUGUGUGCCCUCACCUUUGUUCAUCAAUUCGUGCGCAGUCCAGAAAUUCUUGGAAAUUCUCCUGUUGCUGUUAUAAUUGCAAAUGCUACAUCUGAAGGAGCGGCUGUAGCUGGUGAUGAAGAGAGGCACUUCGCAUUUGCCCACCAGAAGUACAGAUCGGUAAAGUAUAGAGAAGCUUCAGAGCAUGGCAGCAUUGUUUAUGAGAAGGUCCACGACAAACUGAUAACCUACUUCUUCUUGGAGUUAUCUACUAUCAGUUUAUGA